GCCUUCGUGGUGUAAUUGGAAGCACAUCCGCUUAGUAUCGGGCAGUCUGGAGUUCGAAUCUCUCCGAAGGCA
Molecule: transfer RNA, 72 nt
Filed under: Stegodyphus mimosarum
Lineage: Eukaryota; Metazoa; Arthropoda; Arachnida; Araneae; Eresidae
Rfam family: tRNA
About the family: Transfer RNA (tRNA) molecules are approximately 80 nucleotides in length. Their secondary structure includes four short double-helical elements and three loops (D, anti-codon, and T loops).
Source: Rfam by way of RNAcentral